Molecule: ribosomal RNA, 497 nt
Filed under: uncultured bacterium
Lineage: Bacteria
Description: partial 16S ribosomal RNA
Rfam family: Bacterial small subunit ribosomal RNA
Source: RNAcentral
GAUGAACGCUGGCGGCGUGCCUAAUACAUGCAAGUCGAGCGAACGGACGAGAAGCUUGCUUCUCUGAUGUUAGCGGCGGACGGGUGAGUAACACGUGGAUAACCUACCUAUAAGACUGGGAUAACUUCGGGAAACCGUAUCUAAUACCGGAUAAUAUUUUGAACCGCAUGGUUCAACAGUGAAAGACGGUCUUGCUGUCACUUAUAGAUGGAUCCGCGCUGCAUUAGCUAGUUGGUAAGGUAACGGCUUACCAAGGCAACGAUGCAUAGCCGACCUGAGGGGGUGAUCAGCCACACUGGAACUGAGACACGGUCCAGACUCCUACGGGAGGCAGCAGUAGGGAAUAUUCCGCAAUGGGCGAAAGCCUGACGGAGCAACGCCGCGUGAGUGAUGAAGGUCUUCGGAUCGUAAAACUCUGUUAGUAGGGAAGAACAUAUGUGUAAGUAACUGUGCACAUCUUGACGGUACCUAAUCAGAAAGCCACGGCUAACUACGUG